This 560-nucleotide ribosomal RNA is filed under the name Vibrio neptunius. Its description in RNAcentral is "bacterial SSU rRNA". It matches the Rfam family "Bacterial small subunit ribosomal RNA", at positions 104 to 660 of the family's 1533-position model. RNAcentral also lists the same sequence under 1 other name. The record is from RNAcentral. Lineage: Bacteria; Pseudomonadati; Pseudomonadota; Gammaproteobacteria; Vibrionales; Vibrionaceae.
GGGUGAGUAAUGCCUGGGAAAUUGCCCUGAUGUGGGGGAUAACCAUUGGAAACGAUGGCUAAUACCGCAUAAUAGCUUCGGCUCAAAGAGGGGGACCUUCGGGCCUCUCGCGUCAGGAUAUGCCCAGGUGGGAUUAGCUAGUUGGUGAGGUAAUGGCUCACCAAGGCGACGAUCCCUAGCUGGUCUGAGAGGAUGAUCAGCCACACUGGAACUGAGACACGGUCCAGACUCCUACGGGAGGCAGCAGUGGGGAAUAUUGCACAAUGGGCGCAAGCCUGAUGCAGCCAUGCCGCGUGUAUGAAGAAGGCCUUCGGGUUGUAAAGUACUUUCAGCAGUGAGGAAGGCGGAGUCGUUAAUAGCGGCCUCGUUUGACGUUAGCUGCAGAAGAAGCACCGGCUAACUCCGUGCCAGCAGCCGCGGUAAUACGGAGGGUGCGAGCGUUAAUCGGAAUUACUGGGCGUAAAGCGCAUGCAGGUGGUUUGUUAAGUCAGAUGUGAAAGCCCGGGGCUCAACCUCGGAAUUGCAUUUGAAACUGGCAGACUAGAGUACUGUAGAGGGGG